CGAAGGGGGCUAGCGUUGCUCGGAUUGACUGGGCGUAAAGGGCGCGUAGGCGGUUUGUACAGUCAGACGUGAAAUUCCUGGGCUCAACCUGGGGGCUGCGUUUGAUACGUGCAGACUUGAGUUCGGAAGAGGGUCGUGGAAUUCCCAGUGUAGAGGUGAAAUUCGUAGAUAUUGGGAAGAGCACCGGUGGCGAAGGCGGCGACCUGGUCCGAUACUGACGCUGAGGCGCGAAAGCGUGGGGAGCAAACAGGAUUAGAUACCCUGGUAGUCCACGCCGUAAACGAUGUGCGCUGGAUGUUGGGUGACAUAGUCAUUCAGUGUCGUAGCUAACGCGAUAAGCGCACCGCCUGGGGAGUACGGCCGCAAGGUUG
This 371-nucleotide ribosomal RNA is filed under the name uncultured organism. RNAcentral describes it as "bacterial SSU rRNA". It matches the Rfam family "Bacterial small subunit ribosomal RNA", at positions 526 to 896 of the family's 1533-position model. The record is from RNAcentral.